GAAAUGCGAUAAGUAGUGUGAAUUGCAUAUUUCCGUGAAUCAUCGAAUCUUUGAACGCAACUUGCACUCUCGGGCAUUCCUGAGAGUAUACCUGUUUGAGCAUCAGUAACACCCUCACCUCCCAACCGUGGUUGGGAAAGUGGCAUUGGGCCUCAAGCAUUAUAUGUUUGUGGCCUGGAAUAGAUUCGGCGCCCCAUGUCAAGUGUACACUUUUCAAAGGCAAGCUAGGAACAGUCGUUCUUUCUUGGCUGGCGAGAGUGAGAAGCUUGAUAUGAAUAGCUGUUCUUUUAUCAGACGCAUAUUAAUAUGUGGCUGUGAAUUUGAUCUCAAAUCAGGUAAGACUACCCGCUGAACUUAA
This 358-nucleotide unclassified non-coding RNA is filed under the name uncultured fungus. Its description in RNAcentral is "sequence contains ITS1". The stretch from base 1 to 105 matches the Rfam family "5.8S ribosomal RNA", at positions 50 to 154 of the family's 154-position model. Lineage: Eukaryota; Fungi. The record is from RNAcentral.